AAAGAGAAGCGAGACGGAGAGUUAAGCGAAACCCAAAAAAGUAAGUCUCAGUUCGGAUUGAAGGCUGAAAUUCGCCUUCAUGAAGCCGGAAUUGCUAGUAAUGGCAGGUCAGCAUACUGCCGUGAAUACGUUCCCGGGCCUUGUACACACCGCCCGUCACACCAUGAGAGUUGGGAAUACCCAAAGCCUGUGAGCUAACGUAAGAGGCAGCAGUCGAAGGUAGAAUCAAUGAUUGGGGUGAAGUCGUAACAAGGUAUC
Molecule: ribosomal RNA, 258 nt
Filed under: uncultured bacterium
Lineage: Bacteria
Description: partial 16S ribosomal RNA
Rfam family: Bacterial small subunit ribosomal RNA
Source: RNAcentral